CCGCCUCCCGCCCCACCCGGGCUGCCAGGGGCGCAGCACCGCCGGCGCUCGCUCCUCGUCGCAGAGCCACGGGCUCCGCGCGCUCCCCAGCCAGCUGCCCAGCCGCUGGCGUCAGGCCCCCGGCCACAUCCCGGCCUCCACCCCUGGCCGUGGACUCGCAGGGUCCGCGGGGGUCAGCUUCUAAAGCUGGGUUCCCAGGGGGGAAGCCAAGCAUUUUACAGACGAAGAAACGACUCUGAGAGGCCACAAGAUCCUCCCCAGGCCACGCAGCUGGAAAACACCCGCUUUUACAUUUUCCAAGCUAACGUGAAAGGGAAAGCUGUCUGGUUACUGGAUCUGACGUUAAGAACUUGGAUCUGUCCGAGACAAUCAUGACCUUCAGUUCACCACCUACAGGUUUGAACUCCUAGUUUAGCAUCACCAUUUAGACUGUGGAUCAUGUUGUUUUAAAUUUUGUGUUGUAUUCUUCUUGUUAUUAAGCUCUUCACCUGUUGUUGCACAUUAUCCCUGAAUACGAGCUGUUUUCUAUUCCUGCACCUUCCCUCCGACGUGAGACACGACACCCAGAAGUCCUUCUGGACGUGGAGGGACAAAAGGCUGCAGAAAUCGGAAAACCUGACUGUUGACCAGCAAUACCUUCAGAGAAAGAUCUUGAUCAGAAAGGAGAAAAUCAUGAGCGAGAGCUUAACCUGGCCAGAAAUCAGGAGGGGCGGUGGGGAGAGCUGUCACACCUGUGUCAUGGUGCGAGCCCUUUGGAAAGAACCCUACCUUUACAACGGAGCUCUGUGGUUGUGACAGCCCCCCAACUCCCUCUUCCCCUCUGUAACGUACUUCCUCCUUCUUUGUACAUGUGGCUCAUCAUGUCUGCAUGGACCAGACUGCAGUUCCUUCUUUUUCCGGAAUAAAUCGUUUUGGUG
This is a long non-coding RNA of Eptesicus fuscus (big brown bat), 917 nucleotides long. RefSeq lists it as uncharacterized. Lineage: Eukaryota; Metazoa; Chordata; Mammalia; Chiroptera; Vespertilionidae. The record is from RefSeq and is a predicted model, not a curated record. The transcript has 3 exons.